GAGAGAAUUUAACAUUACAAAAAAUCUUAACCUUUUUUUCAAGAAGUUACUGAACCAUAAAAAUGAGGUCAAGGACAUUGGACAUGUGACUGACGGAAACUUCGUAACAUGAGGCAUCCAUAUACCAAGGAUGAAGCAUCCAGGUCUUUAACCUUCUAAAAUAAAAAGAUUUUAAGUAGUUUUCUAAGUCCGUCGCUGUAGCGGCUGGAUC
RNAcentral lists this long non-coding RNA (211 nucleotides) under Mytilus galloprovincialis (Mediterranean mussel). Lineage: Eukaryota; Metazoa; Mollusca; Bivalvia; Mytilida; Mytilidae. The record is from RNAcentral.